GGAAAGAUGAAAAGAACUUUGAAAAGAGAGUUAAACAGUACGUGAAAUUGUUGAAAGGGAAACGAUUGAAGUCAGUCAUACCAACGGGAAAUCAACCUUUUGAGCUUUGUCUCGUGGGUUCGAAGAGUUUUAAACGCCUUCGGGUUCGCGAGAUUGGGAUCUUCUGGUGUACUUUCUCGUACGGUUAGUCAACAUCGGUUUUGAAUGUCAUAAAAUGACUGGAGGAAUGUAGCUUCGAUCUCGUAUCGAAGUGUUAUAGCCUUUGGUAGAUGUGAUGUUUGAGACCGAGGAUUGCAACGGAUACCCUUCAUGGGCUAUUCGUCUGAUCUCUGAUACGUUGCCUUGACGUUGAAAGCUUGCUUACGAUGUUAGGGUAUUACGGUCAAAAGGUUAGAACGGAUUAAAUUCGUUAAGGAUGUUGACGUAAUGACUUUAAACGACCCGUCUUGAAACACGGACCA
Molecule: ribosomal RNA, 461 nt
Filed under: Funneliformis coronatus
Lineage: Eukaryota; Fungi; Glomeromycota; Glomeromycetes; Glomerales; Glomeraceae
Description: LSU rRNA
Rfam family: Eukaryotic large subunit ribosomal RNA
Source: RNAcentral